This 71-nucleotide transfer RNA is filed under the name Ameerega trivittata (three-striped poison frog). Its description in RNAcentral is "tRNA-Gln". It matches the Rfam family "tRNA". From Rfam's summary of the family: Transfer RNA (tRNA) molecules are approximately 80 nucleotides in length. Their secondary structure includes four short double-helical elements and three loops (D, anti-codon, and T loops). Lineage: Eukaryota; Metazoa; Chordata; Amphibia; Anura; Dendrobatidae. The record is from RNAcentral.
UAGAAAGUAGUAAAAUGGAAUUACGCAGAGUUUUGAUCUCUAAGAUGUAGGUUCAAUUCCUAUUUUUCUAA